This is an RNA transcript of Helianthus annuus (common sunflower), 4221 nucleotides long. It is a transcript of the gene named carbamoyl-phosphate synthase large chain, chloroplastic, with no coding region annotated. The record is from RefSeq and is a predicted model, not a curated record. The transcript is spliced from 7 exons. Lineage: Eukaryota; Viridiplantae; Streptophyta; Magnoliopsida; Asterales; Asteraceae.
AUAAUUCCACCAACAAAGAGACAAGUUCACACAUUGAAGAAAACGAUUUCACCUUUCAAAUAAAAACUUUUGGGCCCUAAAUCAUCUUUGCCAAGUGGACACAGGAGCACAAUAGUGGAGAAACACAGCCGAAAGGUGACGCAUUUUAGCUAUAAACCCUAUCUUGCGCCGCUAUCUUCCACCAUUCUCACAUUCAAUCUAUGGCGACUCAUUGCUUCAACCCAUGCGAUAACAUCUUCAUUUCACCCACUCUCAUUUCCCCAAAACCAAAAUCUAUCCAUUCUUCGUUACUGUCAAUAAACAACACCCAAAUCAGCCACAAAUUGUUCACUUUUUCAACACGCACACCAGGUGUUUGUCAAAAUGUCUGCAGCUCUAAACAGGGUAAUCAAGUGGGUGAAUGUGAAAAAUCUCAAAAACCCAAUGUGGGUAAGAGAACUGACAUUAAAAAGAUUAUGAUUCUGGGUGCUGGGCCCAUUGUUAUUGGUCAAGCUUGUGAAUUUGAUUAUUCGGGUACUCAAGCUUGUAAGGCGUUAAGGGAGAAUGGUUAUGAGGUUGUGCUUAUUAAUUCGAACCCUGCUACUAUUAUGACUGAUCCUGAGAUGGCUGAUCGGACCUACAUUGAACCCAUGACGCCUGAGUUAGUCGAGCAGGUGAUUGCACAAGAGAGACCAGACGCGAUUUUACCCACCAUGGGUGGCCAAACCGCGCUUAAUCUCGCAGUGGCGUUGGCGGAACGUGGGGUGUUGGAUAAGUAUAACGUAGAAUUAAUCGGAGCUAAACUUGAAGCAAUCAAGAAAGCCGAAGAUCGAGAGUUGUUCAAGCAAGCCAUGAAGAACAUCGGGCUCAAAACUCCACCGUCCGGGAUCGGUACUACCCUACAAGAAUGUACGCAAAUAGCCGAAGAAAUCGGCGAGUUCCCGUUAAUUAUCAGGCCCGCUUUUACAUUAGGUGGUUCCGGUGGCGGGAUUGCGUAUAAUAAACAAGAAUUCGAGGCGAUUUGUAAGUCGGGGCUUGCAGCGAGUGUGACGUCACAAGUUUUGGUCGAGAAAUCGUUGUUAGGAUGGAAAGAAUACGAGCUUGAGGUUAUGCGGGAUUUGGCUGACAAUGUGGUUAUCAUAUGUUCAAUCGAGAAUAUCGAUCCGAUGGGUGUGCAUACCGGAGAUUCGAUCACGGUUGCUCCUGCGCAAACGUUGACCGAUAAGGAGUACCAACGGCUUCGUGAUUAUUCUAUUGCGAUUAUUAGGGAGAUUGGAGUUGAAUGUGGCGGUUCUAAUGUUCAGUUUGCUGUUAAUCCUGAUGAUGGGGAGGUUAUGGUUAUUGAGAUGAAUCCUCGGGUUUCGAGGUCGUCUGCGUUGGCGUCUAAAGCUACCGGUUUUCCGAUUGCGAAGAUGGCUGCAAAGUUAUCGGUUGGUUAUUCUUUGGAUCAAAUUCCGAAUGAUAUCACGAUGAAGACACCGGCUAGUUUUGAACCGUCUAUUGAUUAUGUUGUCACAAAGAUACCCAGGUUUGCAUUUGAGAAAUUCCCGGGAUCUCAACCCAUAUUAACAACACAAAUGAAAUCCGUUGGUGAAUCGAUGGCAGUUGGACGCACAUUUCAAGAAUCGUUUCAAAAGGCGGUUAGAUCGCUAGAAUGCGGUUACUCGGGUUGGGGUUGUGCACCGAUAAAAGAGCUCGAUUGGGAUUGGGAGAAACUUAAAUACAGUCUGCGGGUCCCGAACCCGGACCGUAUCCACGCGCUAUACGCCGCAAUGAAACGAGGCAUGAAAGUGGACGCGAUCCAUGAAAUAAGUUUCAUCGACAAAUGGUUUCUCACUCAACUUAAAGAAUUAGUAGACGUUGAGCAAUAUAUCAUGGCAAAAAGUUUAUCUCAGGUCACUAAAGAUGAGUUUUACGAGGUUAAAAAGCGUGGUUUUAGCGAUAAGCAGAUCGCGUUUGCUACAAAGUCGACGGAAAAAGAAGUUCGCGUGAAACGCUUGAGUUUAGGAGUUGUUCCUGCUUAUAAACGUGUCGACACUUGUGCUGCGGAGUUUGAAGCAAACACUCCGUAUAUGUAUUCUUCUUAUGAUUAUGAAUGUGAAUCUGCUCCGACUAAAACGAAAAAAGUUCUGAUUUUGGGUGGUGGGCCCAAUAGAAUCGGUCAAGGGAUUGAGUUUGACUAUUGCUGCUGCCAUGCUUCAUUUGCCCUUCAGGAAGCAGGUUACGAAACUAUUAUGAUGAAUUCAAAUCCGGAGACCGUAUCCACCGACUACGAUACAAGUGACCGUCUCUACUUCGAACCGCUAACAGUUGAAGACGUACUUAACGUCAUCGACAUUGAACAGCCCGAUGGCAUCAUCGUGCAGUUCGGUGGUCAAACCCCUCUGAAACUGGCUCUACCGAUCCAACACUACCUUGACGAACACAAACCGCCGUCCGCCAGUGGCGGUAACGUCCGCAUCUGGGGCACAUCACCCGACUCCAUUGACGCUGCUGAAGACCGAGAACGGUUCAAUGCGAUGUUAAAAGAGCUACGAAUCGAACAACCGAAGGGUGGGAUUGCGAAAAGCGAUGCUGAUGCGUUGGCGAUUGCGUCAGAAAUCGGAUAUCCGAUUGUUGUAAGGCCGUCUUAUGUUUUAGGUGGUCGGGCCAUGGAGAUUGUUUAUAGUGAUGAGAAGUUGAUAAGUUAUCUUGAAACGGCUGUUGAGGUUGACCCGGAGCGACCCGUUUUGAUCGACCGGUAUUUGUCGGACGCUAUUGAGAUCGAUAUCGAUUCGCUUGCGGAUAUGCACGGUAAUGUCGUGAUCGGUGGAAUUAUGGAGCAUAUUGAACAAGCAGGAGUCCAUUCCGGUGACUCCGCUUGCAUGAUUCCGACAAAAACAGUUUCGGCUAAAAGCCUAGAAACGAUCAGAUCGUGGACUGUUAAACUCGCUAAGCGAUUAAACGUAUGCGGACUUAUGAACUGCCAGUAUGCAAUUACGGGUGCUGGGGACGUUUUCUUGCUCGAAGCGAACCCGCGGGCGUCUCGUACGGUCCCAUUUGUUUCAAAAGCGAUCGGGCGCCCUUUAGCUAAAUACGCUUCACUUGUAAUGUCGGGAAUGUCUCUUAACGAACUCGGUUUCACAAACGAAGUAAUCCCGAAACAUGUUUCAGUUAAAGAAGCGGUUCUUCCGUUCGAGAAAUUCCAAGGAUGCGAUGUGUUUCUCGGGCCCGAGAUGCGUAGCACCGGUGAAGUAAUGGGGAUCGGGACCGAACUCUCAAUCGCGUUCGCCAAAUCGCAAAUCGCCGCAGGCCAGAAACUACCCGUUUCCGGGACCGUUUUUCUUAGUAUGAACGAUAUGACAAAACCGCAAUUAACGAAAAUUGCUCGUGCUUUUCUAGGGCUCGGGUUUACCAUUGUUGCGAGUUCUGGUACCGCUCGUAUUCUUGAAUUAGAAGGUGUUCCGGUUGGGAAGGUGUUGAAGCUGCACGAAGGACGUCCGCAUGCGGGUGAUAUGAUUGCGAACGGACAAAUUAAUUUAAUGGUGAUUACGAGCUCGAACGAUGAUGUUGAUCAGGUUGACGGGCGUCAGCUCAGGCGGAUGGCGCUUGCGUACAAGGUUCCGAUCAUAACAACGGUUUCGGGUGCUUUGGCGACUUGUGAGGCUAUCGGAAGCUUGAAAACGACGAAAAUCGAAAUGGUCGCUAUUCAAGAUUACUUUUUAGAGCAGAAUGCUGCGUGACAAAUUGCAAGCAAAUACAAGUCUAAGUGUGCAGCACAAAAAGCUUUUGAUUUAAGGGGGCAAAGUGAAAAGUGACCCAAACUACAAGGAGGCAAAUUGCAAGACUGCUGCAACAGUCUCGAUAAAGUCGUAGGUAAAACGAACAUAUCUACAGCCAUUUGAAGACAUGACUUCUGGUUUCAAAAUUUUUGUUAGGUUCAGGCGUUCAGCCCUCUAACCGAGGGUUAUUUUCUAGUGUUUUCUUUCCGUACCGAUUUCUUAUUUCUGUGCAUCGGAUUUUGUGUUUGGUGGCUGUAGUCGGGUGUUAUCAUCGUUUUUUUUAACGGCUAAAGCACACUCCCUAAUUCUACUCCCAAGUCAACAUCUUUUGUCUACCAUGGGACUUUGAACCCUUAGCCAUAUGAGAGAAACACCUUACUACACUUUGAUACCGCCAGGCUACAAGCCGUUUGGUAGCAUUAUUAUCACUUGUACGAAUGACGUGUAAGUAUUUAAUCAUUUAAUAAUGCUCAUUUAAACA